GCCCGGAUGGUGAAAUUGGUAGACACAAGAGACUUAAAAUCUCUCGAUCGGUUACGAUCGUGCCGGUUCGAUUCCGGCUCCGGGCA
This 86-nucleotide transfer RNA is filed under the name Marinobacter sp. X15-166B. It matches the Rfam family "tRNA". Rfam says of the family: Transfer RNA (tRNA) molecules are approximately 80 nucleotides in length. The record is from Rfam by way of RNAcentral. Lineage: Bacteria; Pseudomonadati; Pseudomonadota; Gammaproteobacteria; Pseudomonadales; Marinobacteraceae.